AACGAACGCUGGCGGCAGGCCUAACACAUGCAAGUCGAACGCCCUAGCAAUAGGGAGUGGCAGACGGGUGAGUAACACGUGGGAACGUGCCUUUCGGUUCGGAAUAACCCAGGGAAACUUGGACUAAUACCGGAUACGUGCGAGAGCAGAAAGAUUUAUCGCCGAAAGAUCGGCCCGCGUCCGAUUAGCUAGUUGGUGAGGUAACGGCGUCACCAAGGCGACGAUCCUUAGCUGGUCUGAGAGGAUGAUCAGCCACACUGGGACUGAGACACGGCCCAGACUCCUACGGGAGGGCAGCAGUGGGGAUAUUGGACAAUGGCGCAAGCCUGAUCCAGCCAUGCCGCGUGAGUGACGAAGGCCUUAGGGUUGUAAAGCUCUUUUGGCGGGGAAGAUAA
Molecule: ribosomal RNA, 395 nt
Filed under: uncultured bacterium
Lineage: Bacteria
Description: bacterial SSU rRNA
Rfam family: Bacterial small subunit ribosomal RNA
Source: RNAcentral